UACGUAGGGGGCGAGCGUUACCCGGAUUCACUGGGCGUAAAGGGGGCGUAGGUGGCCGUGUAAGUCCGGUGUGAAAAGCCACGGCUCAACCGUGGACCUGCGCUGGAAACUACAUGGCUUGAGGACGGUAGAGGGAGACGGAACUGCUGGUGUAGGGGUGAAAUCCGUAGAUAUCAGGAGGAACGCCGGUGGAGAAGUCGGUCUCCUGGGCCGUUCCUGACGCUGAGGCCCGAAAGCUAGGGGAGCAAACCGG
This 253-nucleotide ribosomal RNA is filed under the name uncultured microorganism. Its description in RNAcentral is "partial 16S ribosomal RNA". It matches the Rfam family "Bacterial small subunit ribosomal RNA", at positions 524 to 776 of the family's 1533-position model. The record is from RNAcentral.